AACGAACGCUGGCGGCAUGCCUAACACAUGCAAGUCGAACGAGACCUUCGGGUCUAGUGGCGCACGGGUGCGUAACGCGUGGGAACCUGCCCUUAGGUUCGGAAUAACUCCCCGAAAGGGGUGCUAAUACCGGAUAAUGUCUUCGGACCAAAGAUUUAUCGCCUUUGGAUGGGCCCGCGUUGGAUUAGCUAUUUGGUAGGGUAAAAGCCUACCAAGGCGACGAUCCAUAGCUUGUCUGAGAGGAUGAUCAGCCACACUGGGACUGAGACACGGCCCAGACUCCUACGGGAGGCAGCAGUGGGGAAUAUUGGACAAUGGGCGAAAGCCUGAUCCAGCAAUGCCGCGUGAGUGAUGAAGGCCUUAGGGUUGUAAAGCUCUUUUACCCGGGAUGAUAAUGACAGUACCGGGAGAAUAAGCUCCGGCUAACUCCGUG
This 433-nucleotide ribosomal RNA is filed under the name uncultured bacterium. RNAcentral describes it as "partial 16S ribosomal RNA". It matches the Rfam family "Bacterial small subunit ribosomal RNA", at positions 29 to 507 of the family's 1533-position model. The record is from RNAcentral.